GAUGAACGCUGGCGGCGUGCCUAAUACAUGCAAGUCGAGCGAACAGACGAGGAGCUUGCUUCUCUGACGUUAGCGGCGGACGGGUGAGUAACACGUGGAUAACCUACCUAUAAGACUGGGAUAACUUCGGGAAACCGGAGCUAAUACCGGAUAAUAUUUUGAACCGCAUGGUUCAAAAGUGAAAGACGGUCUUGCUGUCACUUAUAGAUGGAUCCGCGCUGCAUUAGCUAGUUGGUAAGGUAACGGCUUACCAAGGCAACGAUGCAUAGCCGACCUGAGAGGGUGAUCGGCCACACUGGAACUGAGACACGGUCCAGACUCCUACGGGAGGCAGCAGUAGGGAAUCUUCCGCAAUGGGCGAAAGCCUGACGGAGCAACGCCGCGUGAGUGAUGAAGGUCUUCGGAUCGUAAAACUCUGUUAUUAGGGAAGAACAUAUGUGUAAGUAACUGUGCACAUCUUGACGGUACCUAAUCAGAAAGCCACGGCUAACUACGUGCCAGCAGCCGCGGUAAUACGUAGGUGGCAAGCGUUAUCCGGAAUUAUUGGGCGUAAAGCGCGCGUAGGCGGUUUUUUAGUCUGAUGUGAAAGCCCACGGCUCAACCGUGGAGGGUCAUUGGAAACUGGAAAACUUGAGUGCAGAAGAGGAAAGUGGAAUUCCAUGUGUAGCGGUGAAAUGCGCAGAGAUAUGGAGGAACACCAGUGGCGAAGGCGACUUUCUGGUCUGUAACUGACGCUGAUGUGCGAAAGCGUGGGGAUCAAACAGGAUUAGAUACCCUGGUAGUCCACGCCGUAAACGAUGAGUGCUAAGUGUUAGGGGGUUUCCGCCCCUUAGUGCUGCAGCUAACGCAUUAAGCACUCCGCCUGGGGAGUACGACCGCAAGGUUGAAACUCAAAGGAAUUGACGGGGACCCGCACAAGCGGUGGAGCAUGUGGUUUAAUUCGAAGCAACGCGAAGAACCUUACCAAAUCUUGACAUCCUUUGACAACUCUAGAGAUAGAGCCUUCCCCUUCGGGGGACAAAGUGACAGGUGGUGCAUGGUUGUCGUCAGCUCGUGUCGUGAGAUGUUGGGUUAAGUCCCGCAACGAGCGCAACCCUUAAGCUUAGUUGCCAUCAUUAAGUUGGGCACUCUAAGUUGACUGCCGGUGACAAACCGGAGGAAGGUGGGGAUGACGUCAAAUCAUCAUGCCCCUUAUGAUUUGGGCUACACACGUGCUACAAUGGACAAUACAAAGGGCAGCGAAACCGCGAGGUCAAGCAAAUCCCAUAAAGUUGUUCUCAGUUCGGAUUGUAGUCUGCAACUCGACUACAUGAAGCUGGAAUCGCUAGUAAUCGUAGAUCAGCAUGCUACGGUGAAUACGUUCCCGGGUCU
RNAcentral lists this ribosomal RNA (1371 nucleotides) under uncultured bacterium. RNAcentral's name for it is "bacterial SSU rRNA". It matches the Rfam family "Bacterial small subunit ribosomal RNA", at positions 28 to 1381 of the family's 1533-position model. The record is from RNAcentral.